UACGGCGGGUGCGAGCGUUGUCCGGAAUCACUGGGCGUAAAGAGCUCGUAGGCGGCCUGUUGCGUCCGCUGUGAAAUCCCGGGGCUCAACCCCGGGCGUGCAGUGGAUACGGGCUGGCUGGAGGCAGGCAGGGGAGAACGGAAUUCCUGGUGUAGCGGUGAAAUGCGCAGAUAUCAGGAGGAACACCGGUGGCGAAGGCGGUUCUCUGGGCCUGUACUGACGCUGAGGAGCGAAAGCGUGGGGAGCGAACAGG
RNAcentral lists this ribosomal RNA (253 nucleotides) under uncultured bacterium. RNAcentral describes it as "partial 16S ribosomal RNA". It matches the Rfam family "Bacterial small subunit ribosomal RNA", at positions 524 to 776 of the family's 1533-position model. The record is from RNAcentral.